CAGCCGCCACGGGAAUACGUAGGGUGCGAGCGUUAAGCGGAAUUACUGGGCGUAAAGCGUGCGCAGGCGGUUCGUUAAGACAGAUGUGAAAUCCCCGGGCUUAACCUGGGAACUGCAUUUGUGACUGGCGGGCUAGAGUAUGGCAGAGGGGGGUAGAAUUCCACGUGUAGCAGUGAAAUGCGUAGAGAUGUGGAGGAGUACCGAUGGCGAAGGCAGCCCCCUGGGCCAAUACUGGCGCUCAUGCACGAAAGCGUGGGGAGCAAACAGGAUUAGAUACCCCUGUAGUCCCUGUCUCUUAUAC
Molecule: ribosomal RNA, 301 nt
Filed under: uncultured bacterium
Lineage: Bacteria
Description: partial 16S ribosomal RNA
Rfam family: Bacterial small subunit ribosomal RNA
Source: RNAcentral